AGCACGGUGGCCGAGUGGUUAAGGCGUUGGACUUAAGAUCCAAUGGAUGUAUGUCCGCGUGGGUCUCGAACCCCACCCGUGCUA
RNAcentral lists this transfer RNA (84 nucleotides) under Haliotis rubra (blacklip abalone). RNAcentral's name for it is "tRNA-Leu". It matches the Rfam family "tRNA". From Rfam's summary of the family: Transfer RNA (tRNA) molecules are approximately 80 nucleotides in length. Their secondary structure includes four short double-helical elements and three loops (D, anti-codon, and T loops). Further hydrogen bonds mediate the characteristic L-shaped molecular structure. tRNAs have two regions of fundamental functional importance: the anti-codon, which is responsible for specific mRNA codon recognition, and the 3' end, to which the tRNAs corresponding amino acid is attached (by aminoacyl-tRNA synthetases). tRNAs cope with the degeneracy of the genetic code in two manners: having more than one tRNA (with a specific anti-codon) for a particular amino acid; and 'wobble' base-pairing, i.e. permitting non-standard base-pairing at the 3rd anti-codon position. The record is from RNAcentral. Lineage: Eukaryota; Metazoa; Mollusca; Gastropoda; Lepetellida; Haliotidae.